RNAcentral lists this ribosomal RNA (468 nucleotides) under uncultured bacterium. RNAcentral's name for it is "partial 16S ribosomal RNA". It matches the Rfam family "Bacterial small subunit ribosomal RNA", at positions 28 to 507 of the family's 1533-position model. The record is from RNAcentral.
GACGAACGCUGGCGGCGUGCUUAACACAUGCAAGUCGAACGGAAAGGCCCUGCUUUUGUGGGGUGCUCGAGUGGCGAACGGGUGAGUAACACGUGAGUAACCUGCCCUUGACUUUGGGAUAACUUCAGGAAACUGGGGCUAAUACCGGAUAGGAGCUCCUGCUGCAGGGUGGGGGUUGGAAAGUUUCGGCGGUUGGGGAUGGACUCGCGGCUUAUCAGCUUGUUGGUGGGGUGGUGGCUUACCAAGGCUUUGACGGGUAGCCGGCCUGAGAGGGUGACCGGCCACAUUGGGACUGAGAUACGGACCAGACUCCUACGGGGGGCAGCAGUGGGGAAUAUUGCACAAUGGGCGGAAGCCUGAUGCAGCAACGCCGCGUGCGGGAUGACGGCCUUCGGGUUGUAAACCGCUUUCGCCUGUGACGAAGCGUGAGUGACGGUAAUGGGUAAAGAAGCACCGGCUAACUACGUG